GUCUAAAAUCAGGCACUACUGUCAAGUUUGGUAUCUGUACUUAGGAUUUUAGAAUUAUAUGGCUUUUGUCUAAGUUAUUCCAGAUCAAAACUUUGAGAAUACACUGAUUAAUUGCUUCAUAUGUCUUUGGAUAUUCUCUCUUAGUUUGAUAUGGAUACAUUUUGGUAUAGGCUGUUCGACGAUGCCUUCCCGUAUGUACGCGUAUAAUCAGAAUUAAUAUGAGUACAGGGACUCAUAUAUGUCGUGCAAGGUCUAGAGCAUGAGGACGGUGCUCUAUCUCUCAGUUGUGCGCAUUUAGUGAUAGGGAUAAUGAGAGAGUUUUCCCCAGGAAUCCUCCGUGUUUCAUUGCUUAUCAUUUUUCCUAUGUUCACUUCUAGUUUUCCCAGAGCUUCAUUGCUCAUCAUUUUUCCUUUGUUCACAUCUAGUUUUCCCAGAGCUUCAUUGCUUAUUACUUCCUCCAUUCACUUCCAGCUUUCCCAAGGAAAAAGGCACCGUUGCUGUAGUAUAGUCCUUAGUCUUGAAUGAAAUAUCAAUGUCUGAUGGUGGCAACAAACUUUACCCCACCCCCCAAAAACAAAAGAGAGGGUGGUAUCAAGAGAAAAGUCGUUGAUGUACUAACUAAUGAUUGUUUGGUGGGACUAAGGAAAGAGGAUAUAAAGCUUAUCAGUUUAUUUCAGCUUAGAUGUCAUCAGUCUUCAGUUUAUUCAGCUACAGAAUGGUAAUUACCAAUGAGUUAUAAGUCCUAUAUAAGUGCUUGGCACAAAUUAUUUCAUUUAUCUAAUCAAACAGCCUAAUGGUAACAUCAUUCUUCCCGCCUUGCAAAUAAAAAAAAGUUCAAAAGAGUGAUUGAACCGACAUUAUGGUUUUGAUAUUUGACAGUCUUGAAAGUGAUUACUUGUAUCAUUUAAGAAAUCUGAGGAAUCUCUGUGUGUGUGUGUGUGUGCGUGCAGGUUUAUGUCAUCAAUGCUACUAAAAGUUGCCCGUGAACACAACUCUGUUGUCGCAGUUGUUGGUAAGGGUCACCUGCCAGGAAUCAAAAAGAACUGGAAGCAACAUAUUGAGGUUAAGGAACUGCUAUCAAUACCCUCGCGCAAGCCUGUCAUUACUGUCGCGAAAGUUUUGACAUCAAUUGGAGCUGCAGUUGCAGGAGUGACCAUAAUAUCUGGCAUCUAUGUUUCAAGCAAGAAAUAAUCAUGAUAGAUGUCUCAGAUGUACGUGUCUUGGCUUUCAAUUUAGACAUCAUCGAGGCUAAUCUAUUGCGACUCACAGCAUCUGAAGCGGCCGUGCAUUGCUACUGCUCUUCUACAUUUUCAGCAGUUCAGGGUCAUUACAUGGAGGAAAGGGAAAUUGUCAUUUUGCAAAAUUUCCUGUGGACAUCUUUUCUAAAUUCUAAAAAACUGGAGACGGACAGAUAAUGAGAAGUAAUUUUCCUAUAGCACUUCGCUUGUUCACUCCACAUCUGUUAUGAUCCCCCCUUCCUCUCCAAAUUUCGCUUGAUCUCACUGUUUGUGUCUUCUGAAAAUGGUGCACUGGCUGCUCAGCUUGUUCUCUAAUUUGAUAUAUUUAGCCUGUCAUUUUGUUAACUGUAGCUGAAUCUUGGUCAUAUAACAGAGCAACAUAAAUUGAACACA
Non-coding RNA from Nicotiana tabacum (common tobacco), 1631 nucleotides. NCBI's taxonomy places the organism in Eukaryota, Viridiplantae, Streptophyta, Magnoliopsida, Solanales, Solanaceae. The record is from RefSeq and is a predicted model, not a curated record.